RNAcentral lists this ribosomal RNA (369 nucleotides) under Littoraria flava. RNAcentral's name for it is "partial 12S ribosomal RNA". Lineage: Eukaryota; Metazoa; Mollusca; Gastropoda; Littorinimorpha; Littorinidae. The record is from RNAcentral.
UCUUAGAUAUAAAUCAAUCCUUAUCUAUUUACCAGAGUACUACGAACAUUAAGUUUAAAACUCAAAGAGCUUGGCGGUGCUUUAGACUCCUCAGGGGAACCUGUCUCGUAAUCGACAGUCCACGAACCAACCUCACCUUUCCUCGUAAUCAGUAUGUAUACCGUCGUCGUCAGGUAACUUUUCAAAAUAUAGAAGUUAGCAAUUAAAUGAUUUAAUUUUCACGUCAGAUCAAGGUGCAGCCCACGGAAAGGAGUAGAUGGGUUACAAUUAAAAAUUAUAAUCACGAAUAUUCCCUUUAACAAAAGGUUUUGAAGGCGGACUUGAAAGUAAAAGCCAGCAGCUAAAUGCUUUGAAUUAAGCUCUGAAGCG